AACGAACGCUGGCGGCAUGCCUAACACAUGCAAGUCGAACGAGACCUUCGGGUCUAGUGGCGCACGGGUGCGUAACGCGUGGGAACCUGCCCUUAGGUUCGGAAUAACUCCCCGAAAGGGGUGCUAAUACCGGAUAAUGUCUUCGGACCAAAGAUUUAUCGCCUUUGGUUGGGCCCGCGUUGGAUUAGCUAGUUGGUAGGGUAAAAGCCUACCAAGGCGACGAUCCUUAGCUGGUCUGAGAGGAUGACAAGCCACACUGGCACUGAGGCACGGCCCAGACUCCUACGGGAGGCAGCAGUGGGGAAUAUUGGACGAUGGGCGAAGGCGUGAUCCAGCAAUGCGGCGUGAGUGAUGAAGGCCGUAGGGUUGUAAAGCUCUUUUACCCGGGAUGAUAAUGACAGUACCGGGAGAAUAAGCUCCGGCUAACUACGUG
RNAcentral lists this ribosomal RNA (433 nucleotides) under uncultured bacterium. RNAcentral describes it as "partial 16S ribosomal RNA". It matches the Rfam family "Bacterial small subunit ribosomal RNA", at positions 29 to 507 of the family's 1533-position model. The record is from RNAcentral.